CCUACGGGAGGCAGCAGUGAGGAAUUUUCCGCAAUGGGCGAAAGCCUGACGGAGCAAUACCGCGUGAGGGAUGAAGGAUUUUGGUCUGUAAACCUCUUUUCUCAAGAAAGAAGUUCUGACGGUACUUGAGGAAUAAGCAUCGGCUAACUCCGUGCCAGCAGCCGCGGUAAUACGGGGGAUGCAAGCGUUAUCCGGAAUGAUUGGGCGUAAAGCGCCUGUAGGUUGUUUAUUAAGUCCGUUGUUAAAGCCUAGGGCUCAACCCUAGAAAAGCAAUGGAAACUAGUAGACUAGAGUAUGGCAGGGGUAGAGGGAAUUUCUAGUGUAGCGGUGAAAUGCGUAGAUAUUAGAAAGAACACCGGUGGCGAAAGCGCUCUACUGGACCAUUACUGACACUCAGAGGCGAAAGCUAGGGUAGCAAAAGGGAUUAGAUACCCCUGUAGUCCUAGCCGUAAACGAUGGAUACUAGAUGUUGUGCAUUAUGUACAGUAUCGUAGCUAACGCGUUAAGUAUCCGCCUGGGGAGUACGCUCGCAGGGUGAAACUCAAAUGAAUUGACGGCUGAAGAGUGCGAGACGACGACGAGGGAGGAGG
This 590-nucleotide ribosomal RNA is filed under the name uncultured bacterium. RNAcentral's name for it is "bacterial SSU rRNA". It matches the Rfam family "Bacterial small subunit ribosomal RNA", at positions 338 to 944 of the family's 1533-position model. The record is from RNAcentral.